UACGUAGGGAGCGAGCGUUGUCCGGAAUCAUUGGGCGUAAAGCGCGCGUAGGCGGCCCGAUAAGUCCGUUGUGAAAGUCAAAGGCUCAACCUUUGAAUGCCGAUGGAUACUGUCGGGCUAGAGUCCGGAAGAGGCGAGUGGAAUUCCUGGUGUAGCGGUGGAAUGCGCAGAUAUCAGGAGGAACACCAAUAGCGAAGGCAGCUCGCUGGGACGGUACUGACGCUAAGGCGCGAAAGCGUGGGGAGCGAACAGG
This 253-nucleotide ribosomal RNA is filed under the name uncultured bacterium. RNAcentral's name for it is "partial 16S ribosomal RNA". It matches the Rfam family "Bacterial small subunit ribosomal RNA", at positions 524 to 776 of the family's 1533-position model. The record is from RNAcentral.